Molecule: RNA transcript, 708 nt
Organism: Fragaria vesca subsp. vesca
Lineage: Eukaryota; Viridiplantae; Streptophyta; Magnoliopsida; Rosales; Rosaceae
Exons: 5
Source: RefSeq, a predicted model, not a curated record
UGGUGUGGCUGUUAUACGCAUACCCUUGAUGUCUUCUGCAGACCAAAAGAAGAAAGACGGAUACAAAUCUGUGUGGAACUUGCCAAGAUGAAAUGGCAUGGCGGGCCUACAUACUCUCCUGCUCCAGUCAUCAAAACUUGUUGGUUAUUGUACGACAGAAGUACAGUUGCCAAACAUCGCAUACUUGAAUCUGCAUUCGAAGUUUUGAGUAGUACUGAUGUACUUGAGUAGUUAUAUACUGUGCAGGAGGAUUGGAAACAGUGAUAAUUUGGCUCUUGUUCGACGGAGAUAAUGAGGUCCUUACCUAAACUAGCUAGGAAUAUGUCAUUUGGAUGUUGCAUAUGCGUUGUGAGAAUUGGCCUCAAACAUGGAGACCACCUCCUGCUGGUGUGCUUAAAGAUUGUCAUAAGGCAAUGAAAGUGAUACAGAGGAUGUGAUGUGCAUCAUGUGCUAUGCUACAGAAGGUGCAUUAUGGAGGAAAUGAACAGCUCAGUGGCGUUCCUAGAAUAUUCAGGCCAUCUUUUAUUAUCCUUGAGAUGUAUGCAGCAUCACAAUCACCUCAUCAAUCACCUACAAUAGGGUAGCUGCUACACAGUCAAUUGGCUGGAUACCACAGAGCCAUUCAAGAGGUUGAAUUGAAAGAUGGAGCUUGUAAUGCUAUUUAAUGAAGAGAAUAGGAGAAGUUGUGAGGGAUGGGGAAGAAAAGUU